RNAcentral lists this non-coding RNA (199 nucleotides) under Sphingomonas sp. The record is from RNAcentral. Lineage: Bacteria; Pseudomonadati; Pseudomonadota; Alphaproteobacteria; Sphingomonadales; Sphingomonadaceae.
AUGCGGCCAGCCGUGAUGGGUUCCCGGAGACGGGAACAAUAGGGAACGGGGUGCGGCCUUCGGCCAAGGCCCCGGCUGCCCCCGCAACUGUAACCGGCUAGCCGGUGCUUCAUCACGCCACUGGGGACAUCCCCGGGAAGGCGAAGCGCCACGGCAUCGAUCCGGGAGCCAGGAGACCUGCCCGUCACGGUCGUUCAUC